This 883-nucleotide ribosomal RNA is filed under the name Fructilactobacillus sanfranciscensis. RNAcentral's name for it is "bacterial SSU rRNA". It matches the Rfam family "Bacterial small subunit ribosomal RNA", at positions 57 to 896 of the family's 1533-position model. The record is from RNAcentral. Lineage: Bacteria; Bacillati; Bacillota; Bacilli; Lactobacillales; Lactobacillaceae.
GCAAGUCGAACGAAGUCGCCCAAUUGAUUCUUAGGUGCUUGCAUUAAGAUGAUUUUGGAUCCGACUGAGUGGCGAACUGGUGAGUAACACGUGGGUAACCUGCCCAGAAGAAGGGGAUAACACCUGGAAACAGAUGCUAAUACCGUAUAACAACAAGAACCACAUGGUUCUUGUUUGAAAGCUGGCCUUUGUGCUAGUGCUUCUGGAUGGACCCGCGGCGUAUUAGCUAGUUGGUGAGAUAAUAGCUCACCAAGGCAAUGAUACGUAGCAGACCUGAGAGGGUAAUCUGCCACAAUGGGACUGAGACACGGCCCAUACUCCUACGGGAGGCAGCAGUAGGGAAUCUUCCACAAUGGACGAAAGUCUGAUGGAGCAACGCCGCGUGAGUGAAGAAGGGUUUCGGCUCGUAAAACUCUGUUGUUAGAGAAGAACAGCCGUGAGAGCAACUGCUCACGGUAUGACGGUAUCUAACCAGAAAGUCACGGCUAACUACGUGCCAGCAGCCGCGGUAAUACGUAGGUGGCAAACGUUGUCCGGAUUUAUUGGGCGUAAAGGGAGCGCAGGCGGUUUAUUAAGUCUGAUGUGAAAGCCUUCGGCUUAACCGGAGAAGUGCAUCGGAAACUGAUAAACUUGAGUGCAGAAAAGGAUAGUGGAACUUCAUGUGUAGCGGUGAAAUGCGUAGAUAUAUGAAGGAACACCAGUGGCGAAAGCGGCUAUCUGGUCUGUAACUGACGCUGAGCUCGAAAGCAUGGGUAGCAAACAGGAUUAGAUACCCUGGUAGUCCAUGCCGUAACGAUGAAUGCUAGUGUUGGAAGGUUUCCGCCUUUCAGUGCCGCAGCUAACGCAUUAAGCAUUCCGCCUGGGGAGUACGACCGCAAGGUUG